Molecule: ribosomal RNA, 376 nt
Filed under: uncultured organism
Description: partial 16S ribosomal RNA
Rfam family: Bacterial small subunit ribosomal RNA
Source: RNAcentral
GUAGGUGGCAAGCGUUGUCCGGAAUUAUUGGGGCGUAAAGCGCGCGCAGGCGGUUUUUUAAGUCUGAUGUGAAAGCCCACGGCUCAACCGUGGGAGGGGUCAUUGGAAACUGGAGAACUUGAGUGCAGAAGAGGAGAGCGGAAUUCCACGUGUAGCGGUGAAAUGCGUAGAGAUGUGGAGGGAACACCAGUGGCGAAGGCGGCUCUCUGGUCUGUAACUGACGCUGAGGCGCGAAAGCGUGGGGAGCAAACAGGAUUAGAUACCCUGGUAGUCCACGCCGUAAACGAUGAGUGCUAAGUGUUAGAGGGUUUCCGCCCUUUAGUGCUGCAGCAAACGCAUUAAGCACUCCGCCUGGGGAGUACGGUCGCAAAGACUG